CAUCUGCAAAAUUGUGGCAAUAAUAUGUAUUUGAUAGGGUUAUAAAGAUCAAAUGAAUUAAUAUAAAGUUCAUAGAAAUGGAAUACAUACUAGGUAUUUGAUUUCCCCCUAUUUUUCACAAAGUCAUACAAAACUUUAAUUAUCUUUCAGAGAAACUUAUAUGAAAAAGAACAAGUAGCUAUAUCAACAUUAAUUCUGUGGAUACCUUCCUGUACUCUCUGUGCAAUUGGGUAACUAUUUUAUAACUGAUCCUGCCCCAGGAUGACUUCCCUUUGUUCUCAGAUUCUCCAGAGGCAGAGGUACAGAAACAUUCCUCAGUUUGUCUUCUACCACUUUCUACCUGUCUGUGCUUAUUGAACUAGCAUCCUGAGACAGGUAAGCUAUGACUUCAUUCUCCGCAUGUCCAUUCUCCAUAUAUCCUAAAAGUCCUUUGUGACCUGGUG
RNAcentral lists this long non-coding RNA (443 nucleotides) under Chinchilla lanigera (long-tailed chinchilla). RNAcentral's name for it is "lncRNA (ENSCLAG00000025328.1)". Lineage: Eukaryota; Metazoa; Chordata; Mammalia; Rodentia; Chinchillidae. The record is from RNAcentral.